GUGGCGGACGGGUGAGUAACGCGUGGGAAACCUGCCCUGUACCGGGGGAUAACACUUAGAAAUAGGUGCUAAUACCGCAUAAGCGCACGAGGAGACAUCUCCUUGUGUGAAAAACUCCGGUGGUACAGGAUGGGCCCGCGUCUGAUUAGCUGGUUGGCAGGGUAACGGCCUACCAAGGCAACGAUCAGUAGCCGGUCUGAGAGGAUGAACGGCCACAUUGGAACUGAGACACGGUCCAAACUCCUACGGGAGGCAGCAUG
RNAcentral lists this ribosomal RNA (260 nucleotides) under uncultured bacterium. RNAcentral describes it as "partial 16S ribosomal RNA". It matches the Rfam family "Bacterial small subunit ribosomal RNA", at positions 95 to 353 of the family's 1533-position model. The record is from RNAcentral.